Non-coding RNA from Biomphalaria glabrata, 72 nucleotides. Lineage: Eukaryota; Metazoa; Mollusca; Gastropoda; Planorbidae. The record is from Rfam.
GACUCUGUGGCGCCACGGUAGCGCGUCUGACUCCAGAUCAGAAGGUUGCGUGUUCAAAUCACGUCAGGGUCA